UGCCCAGUAACGGCGAGUGAAGCGGCAAGAGCUCAAAUUUGAAAGCUGGCUCCUUCGGGGUCCGCAUUGUAAUUUGCAGAGGAUGCUUCGGGAGCGGUCCCCAUCUAAGUGCCCUGGAACGGGCUGUCAUAGAGGGUGAGAAUCCCGUAUGGGAUGGGGUGUCCGCGCCCGUGUGAAGCUCCUUCGACGAGUCGAGUUGUUUGGGAAUGCAGCUCUAAAUGGGUGGUAAAUUUCAUCUAAAGCUAAAUAUUGGCCGGAGACCGAUAGCGCACAAGUAGAGUGAUCGAAAGAUGAAAAGCACUUUGAAAAGAGAGUUAAAAAGCACGUGAAAUUGUUGAAAGGGAAGCGUUUGCGACCAGACUCGCCUACGGGGUUCAGCCUGCCUUCGGGCAGGUGUACUUCCCCGUGGGCGGGCCAGCGUCGGUUUGGGCGGCCGGUCAAAGGCCCUCGGAAUGUAACGCCUCUCGGGGCGUCUUAUAGCCGAGGGUGCCAUGCGGCCUGCCCGGACCGAGGAACGCGCUUCGGCUCGGACGCUGGCUUAAUGGUCGUAAACGACCCGUCUUGAAACACGGACCAAGGAGUCUAACAUCUAUGCGAGUGUUCGGGUGUCAAACCCGUGCGCGCAGUGAAAGCGAACGGAGGUGGGAACCCUUACGGGUGCACCAUCGACCGAUCCUGAAGUCUUCGGAUGGAUUUGAGUAAGAGCAUAGCUGUUGGGACCCGAAAGAUGGUGAACUAUGCCUGAAUAGGGCGAAGCCAGAGGAAACUCUGGUGGAGGCUCGCAGCGGUUCUGACGUGCAAAUCGAUCGUCAAAUUUGGGUAUA
This 824-nucleotide ribosomal RNA is filed under the name Penicillium angulare. Its description in RNAcentral is "partial large subunit ribosomal RNA". It matches the Rfam family "Eukaryotic large subunit ribosomal RNA", at positions 76 to 919 of the family's 3401-position model. Lineage: Eukaryota; Fungi; Ascomycota; Eurotiomycetes; Eurotiales; Aspergillaceae. The record is from RNAcentral.